CUAUACAUGCAGUCGAGCGAGCUGAAUUCAAAGAUCCCUUCGGGGUGAUUUGUUGGACGCUAGCGGCGGAUGGGUGAGUAACACGUGGGCAAUCUGCCCUAAAGACUGGGAUACCACUUGGAAACAGGUGCUAAUACCGGAUAACAACAUGAAUCGCAUGAUUCAAGUUUGAAAGGCGGCGCAAGCUGUCACUUUAGGAUGAGCCCGCGGCGCAUUAGCUAGUUGGUGGGGUAAAGGCCUACCAAGGCAAUGAUGCGUAGCCGAGUUGAGAGACUGAUCGGCCACAUUGGGACUGAGACACGGCCCAAACUCCUACGGGAGGCAGCAGUAGGGAAUCUUCCACAAUGGACGCAAGUCUGAUGGAGCAACGCCGCGUGAGUGAAGAAGGUCUUCGGAUCGUAAAGCUCUGUUGUUGGUGAAGAAGGAUAGAGGCAGUAACUGGUCUUUAUUUGACGGUAAUCAACCAGAAAGUCACGGCUAACUACGUGCCAGCAGCCGCGGUAAUACGUAGGUGGCAAGCGUUGUCCGGAUUUAUUGGGCGUAAAGCGAGCGCAGGCGGAAUGAUAAGUCUGAUGUGAAAGCCCACGGCUCAACCGUGGAACUGCAUCGGAAACUGUCAUUCUUGAGUGCAGAAGAGGAGAGUGGAACUCCAUGUGUAGCGGUGGAAUGCGUAGAUAUAUGGAAGAACACCAGUGGCGAAGGCGGCUCUCUGGUCUGCAACUGACGCUGAGGCUCGAAAGCAUGGGUAGCGAACAGGAUUAGAUACCCUGGUAGUCCAUGCCGUAAACGAUGAGCGCUAGGUGUUGGGGACUUUCCGGUUCUCAGUGCCGCAGCAAACGCAUUAAGCGCUCCGCCUGGGGAGUACGACCGCAAGGUUGAACUCAAAGGAAUUGAC
This 895-nucleotide ribosomal RNA is filed under the name Lactobacillus delbrueckii. Its description in RNAcentral is "bacterial SSU rRNA". It matches the Rfam family "Bacterial small subunit ribosomal RNA", at positions 49 to 914 of the family's 1533-position model. The record is from RNAcentral. Lineage: Bacteria; Bacillati; Bacillota; Bacilli; Lactobacillales; Lactobacillaceae.